GACGAACGCUGGCGGCGUGCUUAACACAUGCAAGUCGAACGGUAAGGCCCCAUCUUGCUGGGGUACACGAGUGGCGAACGGGUGAGUAACACGUGGGUGACCUGCCCCGCACUUCGGGAUAAGCCUGGGAAACUGGGUCUAAUAUCGGAUACGACCGCACCGAGCGGGUGUGGUGGGAAGUAUUUCGGUGUGGGAUGGGCGCGCGGCCUAUCAGCUUGUUGGUGGGGUAAUGGCCUAGCAAGGCGGCGACGGGUAGCCGGCCUGAGAGGGUGGCCGGCCACAUUGGGACUGAGGCACGAGCCAGAGUCCAACGGGGGGCAGCAGUGGGGAAUAUUGCACAAUGGGCGGAAGCCUGAUGCAGCGACGCCGCGUGGGGGAUGACGGCCUUCGGGUUGUAAACUCCUUGCACCAUCGACGAAGGUUUUCUGACGGUAGAUGGAGAAGAAGCACCGGCUAACUACGUG
Molecule: ribosomal RNA, 464 nt
Filed under: uncultured bacterium
Lineage: Bacteria
Description: partial 16S ribosomal RNA
Rfam family: Bacterial small subunit ribosomal RNA
Source: RNAcentral